This is a long non-coding RNA of Apodemus sylvaticus (European woodmouse), 3416 nucleotides long. RefSeq lists it as uncharacterized. The transcript is spliced from 2 exons. The record is from RefSeq and is a predicted model, not a curated record. Lineage: Eukaryota; Metazoa; Chordata; Mammalia; Rodentia; Muridae.
ACAGGUCCCUGUGAUGUGUUUUUUUUCCAAAGUGCUAUUUGCUCUACAGUGUAGUCUAAUCUCAAUUCAGAGCCCCUUCAUCACACUUGUGAAUGUACUUUAUUACAGGUUAAGUGCUCUUGGGGAGUGGGGGUGCAGGUGCCUGCCUCUAGCCUUCUGUAAGCUUCUCCGGCCCUUUCUUAGAGGGCAUGUAGUGGGAUGAAUGGAGGGACACUGCUUUGUGGUAUAGAUGACCCAUCUCACUUGCUUACAAAUGAGAUGGUUUCUGUUUGUGGGUCUCAGUGCUCUCUGCCUAGCAGAGCUAGUAAACUCUGGUUUUCUUUCUCGGGUCUACUAUGAAACUCAAAAUUCAGAUCUCAUGGAGGCAACUGAGAGGUAUAUCAGGCAAAACACAGGAGCUAUGCUGGAGCUAGGGGUGACCCUGGCUAAACACCAGAGUAAAACAAAGCUUUUAUUCUUAUCUCAGGCAAGAAGCUAGGCCUCACAGGCCCUGAGCAGACCCAGGGUUUGGCAACUUUCCUGGGUAGGCUUAGGACUUGGCUAGCAAGUGCUCCACAACUGGCCAUGGGACCGACCAAGUGAUCCUCUAGACUGGACUCACGGCUGAAGCUGUGUUCUUUUCUAGAGCAGUGCCCUUAAGUGAGAGAUAAAACUGAAAGCAAACAGCUGCCCUGCCCAGCGAGCUGCCUGGCCUGCGGCCGCAGGGGUUGUCUGAGGGCUCUACACAGCUGCCACCGCACUCAACUUUCACCCCCUUGGCUGGCUGCCUCUUUCUGGGGUGGCUCCCACUAUCCUCUCCUAAGGUAGCAACAAGGACUUCCCAGACAGUGAAGGCAGCAGAGAACUCAGCAGCCACAGCCAUGAGUAGGAGGAAACGAUGACAGGACACUCAGACCAGAGGUACAGUCGUGGGUAGAUCAAAUUUAACUAACCCAGCUACAGCUGGCCUACUGCAGCUCACUCUCCGUUCCUGUUAGCACUCUACCACAGGGCUCUUCUGCCCAAGUGUUCCCUCUGUGCCUUCCCACCUGGCACAUCUGUCCUUCUGAGAAGCUGUUUCUAACAGGCCCAGCCCAUAGGGCUCCUGCUUACACCAUCACUGGCCCUCAGUUUCCACAAUGAAUGGUCCAGGAGAGCCAGACAGACUCCUUAGCCCACUAACCAGUGCUGACUAGUGGGUAGUUUCCAAAGUCCAGCCUCCAGAGAGAUGGGUUAGAGUAACUUUCCUGGCAGAGUUCCUGGGUUCUGCUGCACACCAGCCUGCUCAGGUCUUGACAAGCACAGCACAUGCCAACAGGUCUCUAGGCCUUCCCUGGGCACCCAUCAACUUGUGGUCAGGGUCAGGGUAGGUACCAGCCGGUUCUGGCUCCUUCCCGAUCCUGUAUAUCCUCACCCAGGUUGCUCAUCUUCUUUGAAAAGUUUCAGGUAGCCUUUAGCAGAACCUCCUGUGACCUUUAAGUCUAUUCUUGGACUCUGCAGAGAGUUAGGGACUUGGUGGAUCUAAGAAAAUGAAACAGGUCAUGAUCUUUUGUUUACAAGAGGAACAGCUCAGCCAUAAGGCCUGGGCCAUAGUCAUGAGGGCCCUGGGCUUUAGGAAGUUCCCUUGGACCUGUCUCCUUUCUGGUAUGAUGUGGUGAACCUCUUCUGGCAGUUAUGCUAAAGGCCAUAGUUCCAGUUAGGUACAGGGAAGACCUUAGAAUCACUGGCCCCUUCCCUGGGGAGCUUGCAGAUCCAUAGCAGAGCUGGCUCUGGGGACGGACUAGACAGGAGCAUGCCUAUUAAGCUGUCAUCCGUGCUGGCGCAGGCUUUGGUGCUGCCGCUGUCUUUGAGUCAUGUCUGCUCCAGUAAGGGGCCCUUCACCCAUGUUCCUGAAAAGUUUUGUCACACAUAACAGGAGGAGACAGAAUGCAUGAGAUCCACAAAUGGAGAUUCAAGAUUGGAUAUCUCCCUCCCUUCCCCCUUGCGGUAAGCUGAGCAUCGCCUGGAACAUUACUGAGAAAUUAUGUGUUUCCGACAGGUAGGCAAUUCUGUCACCAAAUCCCAGCUCCUUCCCACCUGCCUCAGCACACUUCCAAGGCCCCACACGCGCUCUGGAUCCCACACUUCUCUGACCCAGAGACCGGCCUGCUCCUCUGAACCAGCAUCUCCACCUUCAGUUCUCCAGAAGCCUUUCCUUCCCGGCUGCUCUUAAAGAUCUCAGGUUUAGCUCGCAGCACUCACAUGGUAAGCUCAGAGCACUGUGGUUACAGUUGUAAGGGAUCAAAUCCCUUCUUCUGACCUCCAUGGGCACCGGGCACACAUGUGGUAUACACACAUACAUCCAUGUAAAACAUCUGUACAUCUUAAAAAAUAAGAAAGUCACUGGGCUGUGGAUUUCUGAGUUUGAGGCCAGCCUGGUCUACAGAGUUCAAGAGUUGUCCCAGCCAAUCCUAUUUCUUUGUUCCAAUCUUGCAGCCAUUAUCAUUAAAUCCUUAAUUACAUAAGAUUUUGUGACUUCAUCACAUACCAAUGAAUCCAUGUAAGUAAAUAAUGCAGCACAAUAAAAACAAACUCUAAAUCCACAACCCAGCCUAAAGCUACAGUGCUGUCAGUCUUGUUAAUGACCUACAUGCUCGCACCUGCCCCUCUCAUCUCCAUACAGAGAACACUGUCGCUCCAUCUGUCAGAAGCCGAGACAGAUCUCAAAGGUGGCUGAAGGUGAAUCAAGGUCACGUAACACCCAGGAUGAUAAUGGAGACAUCUACUUGAUUUUUUUCUUCCAGAGUCUCAGAGGUUAUCCUGAACUUUUUUUGUUUUUUUGUUUUUUCGGCAGGCACUACCAUGUUUAGUUUCUGUGGAGCUGGGUCUGAGAGACCCUAGCGAGACAUCUCUAAAAUGCUAAGAUUCAAGUUGGCUUCAUUUAUUCUAUAGUCAGUGAAAAUCAGUUUCAAAAUGAAGGCAAAAUAAAGCAACCUGUGAGCUCUAAAGUGGAGAGGCCUGGUUACCAGCAGGCCCACGAGCUAUGAAUCCUUAAAGGAAGCCCUCAGGAGAGGGCUGCUCCAGGGGAGCCAGGGUGCGGGAAAAUGACAUGUAGGAGAAGAACAGUAUGUGAGGAAUAACUAAGGCUAUUCUUUGCUGAAAUUCUUCAAAGCGAGGCCAUCGUGAGUGUGCAUGGUUUGCAGGGGCAGGUGCCCGUGUGUGGAGGCCGCUCUGGGUGCUUUUCUUUAUCGACCCUGCCUUAUCUUUUCAGACAGAACUGCCCUGAGCCUAGCGUUUGGUUUUGGUUGGCCUUUUAUGUGGUGUUGAGCGUCUGAACUCGGUUCCCAUGCUUGGGCAACAGGCAAUUUUCCAUGGAGGCCAUUUUUAAGACUUUCAGAGACUUUAAAGUUUGAGAUGACUAUGCAAUUCUCGAUUAAAUCUAAAGCAAAUGUAAGACA